GACCUUGUGUGGCAUGGUGGUUUGGGUGUUGGGCUACAAAUCUGGAGACCAGGGUUCGAUUCCCAGCUUGGCCU
Non-coding RNA from Phrynosoma platyrhinos (Desert horned lizard), 74 nucleotides. NCBI's taxonomy places the organism in Eukaryota, Metazoa, Chordata, Lepidosauria, Squamata, Phrynosomatidae. The record is from the annotation of a GenBank genome assembly.